This 110-nucleotide ribosomal RNA is filed under the name Octodon degus (degu). The record is from RNAcentral. Lineage: Eukaryota; Metazoa; Chordata; Mammalia; Rodentia; Octodontidae.
AUCUAUGGCUAUGCUACCCUGAAUGUGCCCGAUCCUGUCUGAUUUCGGAAGCUAAGCAGGGUCAGGCCAGGUUAGUACUUGGAUGGGAGAAAUAUGAGCAACAAUGAAAC